GCAUAUCAAUAAGCGGAGGAAAAGAAACUAACAAGGAUUCCCCUAGUAACGGCGAGUGAAGCGGGAAGAGCUCAAAUUUGAAAUCUGGUAGCCUUCGGUUGCCCGAGUUGUAAUCUAGAGAAGUGUUUUCCGUGCCGGCCCAUGUACAAGUCCCUUGGAACAGGGCGUCAUAGAGGGUGAGAAUCCCGUCCUUGACAUGGACCCCCGGUGCUUUGUGAUACACUUUCAACGAGUCGAGUUGUUUGGGAAUGCAGCUCAAAAUGGGUGGUGAAUUCCAUCUAAAGCUAAAUAUUGGCGAGAGACCGAUAGCGAACAAGUACCGUGAGGGAAAGAUGAAAAGCACUUUGGAAAGAGAGUUAAACAGUACGUGAAAUUGUUGAAAGGGAAACGAUUGAAGUCAGUCAUGCUCUUGGGACUUACCUCCCUUGAGUGGGGUCAACAUCAGUUUUGAUCGAUGGAUAAAGGCACGGGGAAGGUAGCACUCUCGGGUGAACUUAUAGCCUCGCGUCAUAUACAUUGAUUGGGACUGAGGAACGCAGCAUGCCUUAUGGCCGGGAUUCGUCCACGUACAUGCUUAGGA
This 580-nucleotide ribosomal RNA is filed under the name Naganishia albida. RNAcentral's name for it is "LSU rRNA". It matches the Rfam family "Eukaryotic large subunit ribosomal RNA", at positions 38 to 606 of the family's 3401-position model. Lineage: Eukaryota; Fungi; Basidiomycota; Tremellomycetes; Filobasidiales; Filobasidiaceae. The record is from RNAcentral.